AUACCCCGAGCUGGCGGCUUGAGCCUGUGGUAUCUAGGCUCACCUCACUGCGGUUGGUGGAGGUGAUGGAGGUUGCAGCUUGGCCAGCAUGGUAGAAAGGUGGCAGGACUCUAGAUUCUAGAGGGCAACCUCUGUUUGCUCAUGCUGGAGCGUGGCAGGUGCACAAUGUUUCCUUGGGAAUCCUCAGCAGGGCACGUCUGGCUUUUACCACCCAGUUGCUUCGAGCCAGGAGAUGGAGGAGUCAUCUGUUGCACGCUGGAGGCUGGAGCCUGCAGAUGGCAUGGUUCUGUGGCUCACCUCGCUGCAGUUGGUGGCAGAGACAGAGACUGCAGCUUGACCAGAGUGGUGGAGUGAUAUGUAUCUCAAGAGCACUCCACAACAAAGAUUCUGCCUGCAAUCCUCCACUUCAAGGUCUGUUCCAGGAAACCUGUGUAACACAGUUAUGCAUAGAGUGGUCUUAGGAAGCUGACUCUAACAUGAAAAUUUAGAGUUGGAUCUUUUGCUGACAUAUUGAAUAUUCAUAAGAGCAUAUGAUACAUUUGUCUAUCAUAAACAUGUCAUUUCAAAAAACCCUCAAAGUUGCCUUGUAGAACAUAAUUUUAAAACUAGUGUGUAGGAAUAUUUCAUAUCAGUUAUUCAGUCUUCUUAAUAUCUGAACCGAAAUUAAUCUUCCAUUCUGCUUUUAUUUAUAAAUAAUGAUUUAUUGUCAGAUUCAAUAAUUUAUAUUUUCAUUUAUUCUAAGGUAGGAAAUACCAGCAUAAAAAUAAAUUAUUUGAAACAAA
This is a long non-coding RNA of Homo sapiens (human), 782 nucleotides long. Ensembl annotates it as long intergenic non-protein coding RNA 408. The record is from Ensembl. Lineage: Eukaryota; Metazoa; Chordata; Mammalia; Primates; Hominidae.